AAUAGUGCUCCGCUCUAGCUGUCAUUUCAGAAAAAUUGUAAUGAAUUGUUAAAAAAGCAUAAUUUUAGAGAUUUAAAAAGUUCAAACCUUUUGAUUUGGACACUGACCUGGGCAGCCACGACAUGUUCUCCAUAGUGCAUCAUCACUUCUCCAGACAGAACCUCCUUCAGCUGGGAUAAGGAGAGCAGAGGCAGAGCGCUGCCGAGCAGACGGAAGCUCAGGUAACUGACAGAAACGGGAUGAACACGGGACAGGAAGUCAGUACGAGAAGUUCUGCCGCAGCUGUGAACUGCAUCAAUAGCAACACAAUGAACAACCACAGGCUGUAAUCAUCUGAUCCAUACGGAUGUCAGAAACCAAAAGGAGGUCAUUUAUCUCAGCGGUUAUAACUCCAGGAAUGAAUCAACAGCAGAUCCCCUUCAGGUAAGAACUCACUGAGUCGGGCCGGACGGCUCCUUGAACAUGCCCUCGGUGAUGGCUCUGUUCCAGAAGAGCUGGAAGCUGUCUUCCUUCAGAGAGAGCUUCAGGAGGUCCAGGGCCACGGCUGGGAGAACCAACUCCUUCUUUACCGAGUGCGCCGCCAUCUUCAGCACCCCGAUCAGCCUGACAGGGACGUGAUCGGAUGUUUCAUUUGGGUCAAACAGAGCAGAUGUGGAGAAACCCUCAGAGAGCUCCUACCUGGGGAUGUUGUCAGCAUUGAUGAUGGUGGAGGAGCCCAGGAGGCUUUUCAGCUUCUUGGGUUUGAGCGUAUGCGGGAAGCGCUGCAAAGCCACCAGCAGCAGCUGCAGCUGCUCUGGAGUGUUGAAGGCGGAGGCCAGGUCCGACUUCAGGGCGCUCAGCAGGACCUCCUCAAACACUUCCUCUGGGAUCUGAGAAGGCAUCAUGGUAACAUGUGUUCUGACUGUAGUAACGGAUAAUUAAAGGAGAGGCGCAGCGGUUACCUCCGUGAGGAUGUCCAUGAUGGUUUUGGUGGGCAGGUCCUUCAGGUGUUGCCUGUGCUGGCUGAGGCUCUGGAGGAGCUGCACACACGCGAGCACCACCUGCGGCUCCUGCAGACACACAGUUCUGAGACUACGACACAAAAACUUGCCCCCCAAUGCAUCUGUGAUCUUUAAAGUCCCAUUGAUCAUCUUUUCAGCUACUUUCAAAGCCUUCCCGAUGGUUUUAUAAUCAUGAUCAUGUUGUUUUUAGCCAAAAAUACAAAAAAAGUGUCGUUUUCUACAACAGUUUCUGCAGACUGGCAGGAGUUCACUAGAAAUUAAAGUUGCUAAAAAUCCAAUUUUGCUUUUUUAAGAUGUACCAGAGGGUCUUUAAAUUAUGUAGAAUAUGUGGCUUUUUCGAUGCUUUGAUAAUGAAACUCCAUUUGUCAUUUAAAAAACCUCAAGCUAAAUCAAGCAGCACCUAUAAAACCAAAGUACAGAACAAAGAUGUGCUAAAUGUGAACUUUAAAUUCAAAAAUUUACUAAAUAAUGUAAUAUAUAUGACUUUAAAUAAAAAAGUUUUUUUUUUACAUUUCUCACAAAUGCAAAAAAGUUUAUCUUGUUUUCCAGAGUUGAGUUUAGGUUAUUAGUUUAUCAUGACAGCUAAAAUAUACAUUAAGCAGAGAUUUUUUAGUAGCUAAUUUCCAUCUGUAGUCCCUUUACAAAACAAAAUGUAAUGGCUAAAGAUAAACAUAUUUACCAAUUUGGAAAAAAAGUUUAAGAAAAAUAACUGCCAUUAAAAAAACAGACAAAAAAAAUAAAGUGGCUUUUUUAUAAAUUUGUAUUGUACAGUUCUGACCAGGAUGGCAGGGGCAGAAGGGGAGAGUGAGGGGUGUCUAGGGCAAAUCGGGUUGUGCAUGUGGGGUAUACUACACCACUACUGGCUUUAGUGUUUAUAGUUACUGCUGGAAAAACAACAAAAUCUCCCGACGGUCUUUAAUGAAAGUACAAAUGCUCACUUUAAAGAGUCGCCCGGACUGGUGAAGAGCCAGAACACCAAACAGGCUUCCAAACAUGGCAUUUUUCGCUAAUUUCUGUAAAAAAAAAAA
Molecule: long non-coding RNA, 2029 nt
Organism: Oryzias melastigma (Indian medaka)
Lineage: Eukaryota; Metazoa; Chordata; Actinopteri; Beloniformes; Adrianichthyidae
Exons: 2
Source: RefSeq, a predicted model, not a curated record